GAUGAACGCUGGCGGCGUGCCUAAUACAUGCCAGUCGAGCGAACGGACGAGAAGCUUGCUUCUCUGAUGUUAGCGGCGGACGGGUGAGUAACACGUGGAUAACCUACCUAUAAGACUGGGAUAACUUCGGGAAACCGUAGCUAAUACCGGAUAAUAUUUUGAACCGCAUGGUUCAAAAGUGAAAGACGGUCUUGCUGUCACUUAUAGAUGGAUCCGCGCUGCAUUAGCUAGUUGGUAAGGUAACAGCUUACCAAGGCAACGAUGCAUAGCCGACCUGAGAGGGUGAUCGGCCACACUGGAACUGAGACACGGUCCAGACUCCUACGGGAGGCAGCAGUAGGGAAUCUUCCGCAAUGGGCGAAAGCCUGACGGAGCAACGCCGCGUGAGUGAUGAAGGUCUUCGGAUCGUAAAACUCUGUUAUUAGGGAAGAACAUAUGUGUAAGUAACUGUGCACAUCUUGACGGUACCUAAUCAGAAAGCCACGGCUAACUACGUG
This 497-nucleotide ribosomal RNA is filed under the name uncultured bacterium. RNAcentral's name for it is "partial 16S ribosomal RNA". It matches the Rfam family "Bacterial small subunit ribosomal RNA", at positions 28 to 507 of the family's 1533-position model. The record is from RNAcentral.